RNAcentral lists this non-coding RNA (195 nucleotides) under Desulfocurvibacter africanus. The record is from RNAcentral. Lineage: Bacteria; Pseudomonadati; Thermodesulfobacteriota; Desulfovibrionia; Desulfovibrionales; Desulfovibrionaceae. RNAcentral also lists the same sequence under 1 other name.
UAGCCGGAACUUAUUCGCGGCGCGCCAUGCGCUUAAUUGGGAAUCCGGUGCGAGUCCGGAGCGGUCCCGCCGCUGUAAGCCCUGAUCACCUGACCACCACGAUCAUGCCUUGGGUCAACCAUGCCACUGCCUGCGGGCGGGAAGGCGGCCCAAGGUGGGGCGAGCCAGAAGACCAACCGCGAAACGGCCCAAGGU